Molecule: transfer RNA, 109 nt
Filed under: Pleurotus ostreatus PC15
Lineage: Eukaryota; Fungi; Basidiomycota; Agaricomycetes; Agaricales; Pleurotaceae
Rfam family: tRNA
About the family: Transfer RNA (tRNA) molecules are approximately 80 nucleotides in length. Their secondary structure includes four short double-helical elements and three loops (D, anti-codon, and T loops). Further hydrogen bonds mediate the characteristic L-shaped molecular structure. tRNAs have two regions of fundamental functional importance: the anti-codon, which is responsible for specific mRNA codon recognition, and the 3' end, to which the tRNAs corresponding amino acid is attached (by aminoacyl-tRNA synthetases). tRNAs cope with the degeneracy of the genetic code in two manners: having more than one tRNA (with a specific anti-codon) for a particular amino acid; and 'wobble' base-pairing, i.e. permitting non-standard base-pairing at the 3rd anti-codon position.
Source: Rfam by way of RNAcentral
GGCGAGAUGGCCGAGCGGUCCAAGGCGCCAGACUAAGGUAGACCAGCUCAUUAGGUGAGCAACCCAUCUGGUCUCUUCGGGGGCGCGAGUUCGAAUCUCGCUCUCGUCA